AUUGAACGCUGGCGGCAGGCCUAACACAUGCAAGUCGAACGGUAGCACAGAGAGCUUGCUCUCGGGUGACGAGUGGCGGACGGGUGAGUAACGUCUGGGAAACUGCCCGAUGGAGGGGGAUAACUACUGGAAACGGUAGCUAAUACCGCAUAACGUCGCAAGACCAAAGUGGGGGACCUUCGGGCCUCACACCAUCGGAUGUGCCCAGAUGGGAUUAGCUAGUAGGUGGGGUAAUGGCUCACCUAGGCGACGAUCCCUAGCUGGUCUGAGAGGAUGACCAGCCACACUGGAACUGAGACACGGUCCAGACUCCUACGGGAGGCAGCAGUGGGGAAUAUUGCACAAUGGGCGCAAGCCUGAUGCAGCCAUGCCGCGUGUAUGAAGAAGGCCUUCGGGUUGUAAAGUACUUUCAGCGGGGAGGAAGGCGGCGGAGUUAAUAACUUCACCGAUUGACGUUACCCGCAGAAGAAGCACCGGCUAACUCCGUGCCAGCCGCCGCCGUAA
Molecule: ribosomal RNA, 504 nt
Filed under: uncultured bacterium
Lineage: Bacteria
Description: partial 16S ribosomal RNA
Rfam family: Bacterial small subunit ribosomal RNA
Source: RNAcentral